GGAAAUACGGUUGACAGCACUUGGGAGAUGUAUAGUCCUCUUAUGAGGCUAGUUAUGUUUGAGAAUAGAAGUAUAAUAUAUACAUCAGAUCCUUAUACAAACAUAAAACCAACUACGUUGGCUAAAAUUCUAGAUAGAAUACUGAUUGUGACAAUUUUCUAUCUACUUGUCUUGACCAAAUUACGUGCCAGCAGUCGCGGUAAUACGUAAAAGACUAGUGUUAUUCAUCUUUAAUAGGUUUAAAGGGUACCUAGACGGCGUUUAUUAACCUUAAAUACGGAUAUAAUUUAUAAAGCUAGAGUUUGAUAAGAGAAGGCGAGUAUUUACGGAGUAGAGAUGAAAUUCUUUGAUACCUUAAGGACUGGCAAUGGCGAAAGCGACCUUUUAUGUAAAAACUGACGUUGAGGGACGGAGGCUUGGAUAGCGAACAGGAUUAGAUACCCUAGUAGUCUUUGCAGAGAAUGAUGAAUGCCAUAGAUUAGAUAAUUUUAGUUUAUAAAUGAAAGUGUAAGCAUUCCACCUCAAGAGUAAUGUGGCAACGCUGGAACUGAAAUCAUUAGACCGUUUCUGAGAACAGUAGUGAAGUAUGUUGCUUAAUUCGGUGAUCCUCGAAAAACCUUACCACAACUUGAAUAGUGUCAUUGCCACUACAAAGUAGAAAAGAAUAGAGAUUCCGCUCUAUAAGUAGAAAAGGUAAAAGUAUAAAUAGAUGUGCCCUUUAUGCGGAGUAAGUCUGUGUAAAGGGUAUUUCGUGUUUAUAUUUUUAUCAGGGAUGAUGUUACAUACGUUGCACGGUUGUCUUCAGCUAAUGUCGUGAGAUUUUGGUUAGUUCCAUAAAAUUAGCGUAAACCCCGGCUUUAUUUUUAAAUUAUUAUCAUAAAGCAGUUCAUCACUAUAUUGAAUACAUGAUAACAGGAUCAAGACAAAUCAUCCUGUUCAG
Molecule: ribosomal RNA, 940 nt
Filed under: Hypohelion sp. CLH-2015a
Lineage: Eukaryota; Fungi; Ascomycota; Leotiomycetes; Rhytismatales; Rhytismataceae
Description: SSU rRNA
Rfam family: Bacterial small subunit ribosomal RNA (bases 118-940)
Source: RNAcentral